UACGUAGGCAGCGAGCGUUGUUCGGAGUUACUGGGCGUAAAGGGUGCGUAGGCGGUUGUUUAAGUUUGGUGUGAAAUCUCCCGGCUCAACUGGGAGGGUGCGCCGAAUACUGAAUGACUAGAGUGCGGGAGAGGAUAGUGGAAUUCCUGGUGUAGCGGUGAAAUGCGUAGAUAUCAGGAGGAACACCGGUGGUGUAGACGGCUAUCUGGACCGUAACUGACGCUGAGGCACGAAAGCGUGGGGAGCGAACAGG
RNAcentral lists this ribosomal RNA (253 nucleotides) under Acidobacterium sp. RNAcentral's name for it is "partial 16S ribosomal RNA". It matches the Rfam family "Bacterial small subunit ribosomal RNA", at positions 524 to 776 of the family's 1533-position model. The record is from RNAcentral. RNAcentral also lists the same sequence under 1 other name. Lineage: Bacteria; Pseudomonadati; Acidobacteriota; Terriglobia; Terriglobales; Acidobacteriaceae.